GGAAAAAGAAAGAUCUUACUCGGACAGGCCAAUGGUGGCCUGAGAACGGACAGAAUCAGUCCAUAGUUGUGAGUUGAACAGCCACUUGUCCCUUGAGGACCUUAGGGUUGCAAUAAUCUGGCAUGGGGGCGUGGAGGCUAGGGGUGGUGGUGGAACCGCCACUAUUACCGACGAGACAACGGCCGGCGAGCAGGAGCCAUGGUUUAGCAGAGAGACCUUGAAAGAGAAUGAGAGGGUG
This 238-nucleotide long non-coding RNA is filed under the name Nicotiana benthamiana. RNAcentral's name for it is "long non-coding RNA (NBEN_LNC005778)". Lineage: Eukaryota; Viridiplantae; Streptophyta; Magnoliopsida; Solanales; Solanaceae. The record is from RNAcentral.